UACGGAGGGGGCGAGCGUUAUUCGGAAUUAUUGGGCGUAAAGGGCGCGUAGGCGGCUCGAUAAGUCAAAGGUGAAAUCCCUCGGCUCAACUGAGGAACUGCCUUUGAAACUGUCGAGCUUGAGUCCGGGAGGGGGUGGCGGAAUUCCCAGUGUAGCGGUGAAAUGCGUAGAUAUUGGGAGGAACACCAGUGGCGAAAGCGGCUACCUGGACCGGAACUGACGCUGAGGCGCGAAAGCGUGGGUAGCAAAC
This 250-nucleotide ribosomal RNA is filed under the name uncultured bacterium. RNAcentral describes it as "partial 16S ribosomal RNA". It matches the Rfam family "Bacterial small subunit ribosomal RNA", at positions 524 to 773 of the family's 1533-position model. The record is from RNAcentral.